AUAAAUAAAUAGAUAAAUAUUUUAUUAUAUAUAUAUAAAAUAUAUGUAUAUAUACAUACAUACACACACACAUAUAUAUAUGUGUGUGUGUAUGUAUGUAUAUAUACACAUAUU
This 114-nucleotide microRNA precursor is filed under the name Tursiops truncatus (common bottlenose dolphin). Its description in RNAcentral is "miRNA (ENSTTRG00000023729.1)". The record is from RNAcentral. Lineage: Eukaryota; Metazoa; Chordata; Mammalia; Artiodactyla; Delphinidae.